RNAcentral lists this ribosomal RNA (995 nucleotides) under uncultured bacterium. RNAcentral describes it as "bacterial SSU rRNA". It matches the Rfam family "Bacterial small subunit ribosomal RNA", at positions 356 to 1376 of the family's 1533-position model. The record is from RNAcentral.
GGGGAAUAUUGCACAAUGGGGGAAACCCUGAUGCAGCGACGCCGCGUGGAGGAAGAAGGUCUUCGGAUUGUAAACUCCUGUUGUUGAGGAAGAUAAUGACGGUACUCAACAAGGAAGUGACGGCUAACUACGUGCCAGCAGCCGCGGUAAAACGUAGGUCACAAGCGUUGUCCGGAAUUACUGGGUGUAAAGGGAGCGCAGGCGGGAAGACAAGUUGGAAGUGAAAUCUAUGGGCUCAACCCAUAAACUGCUUUCAAAACUGUUUUUCUUGAGUAGUGCAGAGGUAGGCGGAAUUCCCGGUGUAGCGGUGGAAUGCGUAGAUAUCGGGAGGAACACCAGUGGCGAAGGCGGCCUACUGGGCACCAACUGACGCUGAGGCUCGAAAGUGUGGGUAGCAAACAGGAUUAGAUACCCUGGUAGUCCACACCGUAAACGAUGAUUACUAGGUGUUGGAGGAUUGACCCCUUCAGUGCCGCAGUUAACACAAUAAGUAAUCCACCUGGGGAGUACGACCGCAAGGUUGAAACUCAAAGGAAUUGACGGGGGCCCGCACAAGCAGUGGAGUAUGUGGUUUAAUUCGACGCAACGCGAAGAACCUUACCAAGUCUUGACAUCCUGCGACGGACAUAGAAAUAUGUUUUUCCUUCGGGACGCAGAGACAGGUGGUGCAUGGUUGUCGUCAGCUCGUGUCGUGAGAUGUUGGGUUAAGUCCCGCAACGAGCGCAACCCUUACUGUCAGUUACUACGCAAGAGGACUCUGGCAGGACUGCCGUUGACAAAACGGAGGAAGGUGGGGAUGACGUCAAAUCAUCAUGCCCUUUAUGACUUGGGCUACACACGUACUACAAUGGCGUUAAACAAAGAGAAGCAAGACCGCGAGGUGGAGCAAAACUCAGAAACAACGUCCCAGUUCGGACUGCAGGCUGCAACUCGCCUGCACGAAGUCGGAAUUGCUAGUAAUCGUGGAUCAGCAUGCCACGGUGAAUACGUUCCCG